Molecule: non-coding RNA, 334 nt
Organism: Pelobates cultripes (western spadefoot toad)
Lineage: Eukaryota; Metazoa; Chordata; Amphibia; Anura; Pelobatidae
Source: the annotation of a GenBank genome assembly
GUAACAUCAAAUCCCUGGGAAAUCUAUUGAAUUAACCAUGUGAAGGAGGCCCUUAAAAUCUGUCAGAUUAGACUUGGCCCAAUAUGUUAGAGCUAUGUUAGACAAAAAAAAAAAAGUAUAAUACAUAGCAAUGUAUUGCCGGUUAGCGGUACUACAACAAUAAAAAGAAAUGGAAAAUUCAUACAAAUCAAGGUCAAGAAUUACAGUGCGCCCCAAUGACGAUAGACAAAGCCAAGGUCAAGGGUUACAGAAGUUAGCGUAGUCAAGACAAGCCAAAAAUCGGUAAACAAGGAAUCAAACUCGAGAAGGGCUUGAGUUAGCAGGUGUAUGGCUG